AUGUUAGCAAAACAGUGUUGGCGACUUCUCCAGAACCCGGACUCUUUGUGUGCUCAGGUCCUUAGCGCUAAAUAUUAUCCAGAUGGAAAUUUGCUGAAAGCUGGUCCAAAAAAGGGGCCGUCCUAUACAUGGCAAAGUAUCGUGGCAGGCAUAUGGACGUUCCAAAGAGGAUGUAUAUGGAGAGUUGGAUCCGGGUCCCAAAUUAAUAUUUGGUGUGACCCAUGGAUACCAACUAGUGCAUCACGGAAGGUAAUCACACCAAGGGGGGUGAAUAUACUGUCAAAAUUGGAGGACCUCAUUGAUCCAUACACUGGCAGGUGGGAUGAGGAGCUUCUUCGUGAUUGUUUCUCGCCGGUGGAUGUGCAAAGGAUACUACAAAUCCCUCUUCAUUCUCGGUUCACCGAAGAUUUUGUCGCCUGGAAUUUUCCAAGGUCGGGAACCUUCUCUGUUCGGUCU
This 456-nucleotide ribosomal RNA is filed under the name Triticum aestivum (bread wheat). Its description in RNAcentral is "partial small subunit ribosomal RNA". The record is from RNAcentral. Lineage: Eukaryota; Viridiplantae; Streptophyta; Magnoliopsida; Poales; Poaceae.